RNAcentral lists this long non-coding RNA (414 nucleotides) under Salvia miltiorrhiza (redroot sage). RNAcentral describes it as "long non-coding RNA (SMIL_LNC003797)". The record is from RNAcentral. Lineage: Eukaryota; Viridiplantae; Streptophyta; Magnoliopsida; Lamiales; Lamiaceae.
AAAAAAAUUCAGAAGAUUCAAAAUCUUCCAAUCCUGAUUCUGGAGUUCUCGUGCUCGUGCUCGUGCAUACCCAGAUCGCUGUCGCUCUGUCGGACGAGUUAUGCCGCCGCCGUCGCUCCGUCGGACGUGCAUUCAAAACUUUCUCUUUCCUGCUUGCUUCCAAAUCAAAUAACAUGGAUUCAGGCGGUGAAUCGGAGCGAAGUUGAGAUUCCUUAGCCCCGUCCCUUUAUAUUUAGGGCUUUUACAUUCUUGCAGUGAAAUGAUUAUUUGGGGUUAUCUCUUCUUAAAGGGAUUAGAAUUCUAUUGUUGAGCUCCCUGAAAUUGUAAAAAAAUUUCAUCAAUUUCCAAUGAUUGGAAGGCGAAGAUGGGGAUGCAGUUCGACCGGAAGGAGGAAAUUCAGAAGUUUAAAAUGAG